CCUACGGGUGGCAGCAGUAGGGAAUAUUGCACAAUGGGGGAAACCCUGAAGCAGCAACGCCGCGUGGAGGAUGAAGGUUUUCGGGUUGUAAACCUCUUUUGUCAGGGAAGAUAAUGACGGUAUCUAACGAAUAAGCACCGGCUAACUCCGUGCCAGCAGCCGCGGUAAUACGGAGGGUGCAAGCGUUAUCCGGAAUCACUGGGCGUAAAGAGAGCGUAGGCGGGAAAGCAAGUCUGAAGUGAAAGCCUACGGCUUAACCGUAGAACUGCAUUUGAAACUGUUAUUCUAGAGUACGGGAGAGGUAGGUGGAAUUCUUGGUGUAGGGGUAAAAUCCGUAGAGAUCAAGAGGAAUACUCGUGGCGAAGGCGACCUACUGGAACGUAACUGACGCUGAGGCGCGAAAGCGUGGGGAGCAAACAGGAUUAGAUACCCGUGUAGUC
Molecule: ribosomal RNA, 440 nt
Filed under: uncultured bacterium
Lineage: Bacteria
Description: partial 16S ribosomal RNA
Rfam family: Bacterial small subunit ribosomal RNA
Source: RNAcentral